This 16-nucleotide transfer RNA is filed under the name Pristobrycon striolatus. RNAcentral's name for it is "partial tRNA-Pro". Lineage: Eukaryota; Metazoa; Chordata; Actinopteri; Characiformes; Serrasalmidae. The record is from RNAcentral.
GCAGGAAAUAGUUUAG